UACGGAGGGUGCAAGCGUUAUCCGGAUUCACUGGGUUUAAAGGGUGCGUAGGUGGGUUGGUAAGUCAGUGGUGAAAUCUCCAGGCUUAACUUGGAAACUGCCAUUGAUACUAUCAAUCUUGAAUACCGUGGAGGUCAGCGGAAUAUGUCAUGUAGCGGUGAAAUGCUUAGAUAUGACAUAGAACACCGAUAGCGAAGGCAGCUUACUACAGGAUGAUUGACGCUGAGGCACGAAAGCGUGGGGAGCAAACAGG
RNAcentral lists this ribosomal RNA (253 nucleotides) under uncultured bacterium. RNAcentral's name for it is "partial 16S ribosomal RNA". It matches the Rfam family "Bacterial small subunit ribosomal RNA", at positions 524 to 776 of the family's 1533-position model. The record is from RNAcentral.